UUGCCUCUUGGACUGGGACAACUGUUGGAAACGACAGCUAAUACCGGAUAUUAUGAGAUUCUCGCAUGAGAAACUUAUGAAAGCUAUAUGCGCCAAGAGAGAGCCUUGCGUUCCAUUAGCUAGUUGGUGGGGUAACGGCCCACCAAGGCGACGAUGGAUAGCCGGCCUGAGAGGGUGAACGGCCACAAGGGGACUGAGACACGGCCCUUACUCCUACGGGAGGCAGCAGUGGGGAAUAUUGGACAAUGGGCCACAAGCCUGAUCCAGCAAUUCUGUGUGCACGAUGAAGGUCUUCGGAUUGUAAAGUGCUUUCAGUUGGGAAGAAGAAAGUGACGGUACCAACAGAAGAAGCGACGGCUAAAUACGUGCCAGCAGCCGCGGUAAUACGUAUGUCGCAAGCGUUAUCCGGAUUUAUUGGGCGUAAAGCGCGUCUAGGCGGAAAAAUAAGUCUGAUGUUAAAAUGCGGGGCUCAACUCCGUAUUGCGUUGGAAACUGUUUUUCUAGAGUACUGGAGAGGUGGGCAGAACUACAAGUGUAGAGGUGAAAUUCGUAGAUAUUUGUAGGAAUGCCGAUGGAGAA
This 579-nucleotide ribosomal RNA is filed under the name uncultured bacterium. RNAcentral's name for it is "bacterial SSU rRNA". It matches the Rfam family "Bacterial small subunit ribosomal RNA", at positions 126 to 719 of the family's 1533-position model. The record is from RNAcentral.